AGCGGCAAAAGCUCAAAUUUGAAAUCUGGUACCUUCGGUGCCCGAGUUGUAAUUUGGAGAGGGCAACUUUGGGGCCGUUCCUUGUCUAUGUUCCUUGGAACAGGACGUCAUAGAGGGUGAGAAUCCCGUGUGGCGAGGAGUGCGGUUCUUUGUAAAGUGCCCUCGAAGAGUCGAGUUGUUUGGGAAUGCAGCUCUAAGUGGGUGGUAAAUUCCAUCUAAAGCUAAAUAUUGGCGAGAGACCGAUAGCGAACAAGUACAGUGAUGGAAAGAUGAAAAGAACUUUGAAAAGAGAGUGAAAAAGUACGUGAAAUUGUUGAAAGGGAAGGGCAUUUGAUCAGACAUGGUGUUUUGUGCCCUCUGCUCCUUGUGGGUAGGGGAAUCUCGCAUUUCACUGGGCCAGCAUCAGUUUUGGUGGCAGGAUAAAUCCAUAGGAAUGUAGCUUGCCUCGGUAAGUAUUAUAGCCUGUUGGGAAUACUGCCAGCUGGGACUGAGGACUGCGACGUAAGUCAAGGAUGCUGGCAUAAUGGUUAUAUGCCGCCCGUCUUGAA
RNAcentral lists this ribosomal RNA (548 nucleotides) under Saccharomyces cerevisiae (brewer's yeast). Its description in RNAcentral is "eukaryotic LSU rRNA". It matches the Rfam family "Eukaryotic large subunit ribosomal RNA", at positions 97 to 658 of the family's 3401-position model. The record is from RNAcentral. Lineage: Eukaryota; Fungi; Ascomycota; Saccharomycetes; Saccharomycetales; Saccharomycetaceae.